This 254-nucleotide long non-coding RNA is filed under the name Mytilus galloprovincialis (Mediterranean mussel). The record is from RNAcentral. Lineage: Eukaryota; Metazoa; Mollusca; Bivalvia; Mytilida; Mytilidae.
CGGGAAUAUCGUAUCAAUUGAGGGAUAUAUACACAGAUAGAGAUUUAGAAGUACAUCAUGAAUCAAAGAUAGGUGUAUAAAUCUAAAGCUUGGGCAAUAUAACAAAAAAAGAAACCAAAGGGACAUUCAAACUCAUAAGCUGAAAAUAAAAUGACAAGCCAAUGGGUAAAAAAAGAAAAAGACCAACAGACAAACAAUAGUAAACAAGACAAAACAUAGAAAACUAAAGUCUCAGCAAGACGAACUGCACAGAA